UACGGUAUCUCGAGGAAAACUCCCAUCGCGCGGAGUCUCUCUUCCCUAUCUUUCAUUCUUGCUGUUAUUGCCGCGUCGGGUACCCAGGAGUCGAAAAAUGUUCCCUGGAGGGGGCGGGGAAAGGGGGAGCCUUGGCGAGGUGUAGCUUCGGAGCGGCUCCCGCCGGCGCCACAGCCGCCGCCUCCUUUCCAAUUCACUCAAACAAACAAGAUGGCUGCCGUUACGCCGCGGCUCUUCCUGCCGCCCAAAUCCACGGUUCAAAUCGGCAGGAUGUUUACGGUCAAAAUGGUACCUGUGCGCCUGCGCAGCCGGCCUAAGACCCAGAAGGAGCGACGCAGGCGCAGCGACCAUUUCCUUUUCUUUGGAACCCGCCCACUGAGCGGGAGCUCGUCACUGAGCAUGCGCAAAGAGUCCCACCGGAUCAACAUAUUCACCUGCUUCACUGAAGUGUCGGGUUUCCCGAAGGACUUACUGCUGUCAGCAUUUUCUCUACCUGGGCAUACCUGAUAAAUGCGCAUUUGUCAAAUUUUGCAGUUUAUUGGGCUAAUACCUUGACAGGACAGAUUUCAAUUACAGAUUUAAUCUUCCUUCAGUUAAAAGUGGUUUGCUUUCCUUUUGAGAAACUGGAUGUUGCCACUGGUUUGAGUACCCAUCUAAAAGCAGCUGUGUUAUAUGUCUUAUUGUUUCAUGAUUUCUCUCUCUCUCUCUCUCACACACACACACACACAGAGCCCUGAGACCUUUUUUUGUGAGAUAAAAGCGUUACAGAACCAUAUAUUAUAACACAUAGUAGCAGGCUUGUUUAAAUAUAGACAAAUUUUUUGCAAACUGUUUCCUUGAGCUAGGAAACAUUUUGAAUUAUUGCGUAUAAUUUUUAAAAUCUACAAUGUUAAAAUAAUUAUUUAAGUAGGAUUGGUAAGAAUGAGAGAAACAAGGCAGGAAGAUAGAUUUUCAGGAGAUAUUUAAUGUUAGAAGUGGAUGGAUGUUGAGUAUAUUGCACCAAUAUUUUAAAAAAUUAAAAUAAAAUCUAUCUUGUUUCUAAAGCUGAUCA
RNAcentral lists this long non-coding RNA (1051 nucleotides) under Oryctolagus cuniculus (rabbit). RNAcentral describes it as "lncRNA (ENSOCUG00000035718.1)". The record is from RNAcentral. Lineage: Eukaryota; Metazoa; Chordata; Mammalia; Lagomorpha; Leporidae.